GGAGAGAUAUAGUCUCCAAUAGUCUCUCGUGUGGGGGUGGUGUCGGUCUGUUGUCACGCCAUGGUGACGGUAUAUGCCGAACCAAGGGGGAGAGGACCGUGGUAUGCGCCCGAUCAAUCGAUCCGAGGCAUUCUACCUUCGUCUGGUGUUCAUCGCUAGAGGGCAGUUCGGCGUAUGUCGCCGGUGGGUUGUUCCGACACCAUCAUCGACAAGGGCAGGUGAGGUGCUUGUGCGCGCCAAGGUGUUUGUUAGUUGUCAUCGUCAGGUGGUAGCAACUACUACUAGUAAUUGGGGUGAAGAGUUAGUUUUUGUUUUCCUGCUGUAUGAAUGCACAAGAUAUCCUUGCACAUGCUCUACAUGUACAACAAAGGACAAUGGGCCCCAUUAUCAUUGAUUGUAGAGUGAUAUUAUGCACUGGAUGCCUUAAUUA
This is a long non-coding RNA of Triticum aestivum (bread wheat), 430 nucleotides long. RefSeq lists it as uncharacterized. The record is from RefSeq and is a predicted model, not a curated record. Lineage: Eukaryota; Viridiplantae; Streptophyta; Magnoliopsida; Poales; Poaceae. The transcript has 2 exons.